This 429-nucleotide ribosomal RNA is filed under the name Actinomycetes bacterium. Its description in RNAcentral is "Actinobacteria bacterium partial 16S ribosomal RNA". It matches the Rfam family "Bacterial small subunit ribosomal RNA", at positions 355 to 776 of the family's 1533-position model. The record is from RNAcentral. Lineage: Bacteria; Bacillati; Actinomycetota; Actinomycetes.
UAGGGAAUCUCCCGCAAUGGGCGAAAGCCUGACGGAGCAACGCCGCGUGAGUGAUGAAGGUCUUCGGAUCGUAAAACUCUGUUAUUAGGGAAGAACAAAUGUGUAAGUAACUAUGCACGUCUUGACGGUACCUAAUCAGAAAGCCACGGCUAACUACGUGCCAGCAGCCGCGGUAAUACGUAGGUGGCAAGCGUUAUCCGGAAUUAUUGGGCGUAAAGCGCGCGUAGGCGGUUUUUUAAGUCUGAUGUGAAAGCCCACGGCUCAACCGUGGAGGGUCAUUGGAAACUGGAAAACUUGAGUGCAGAAGAGGAAAGUGGAAUUCCAUGUGUAGCGGUGAAAUGCGCAGAGAUAUGGAGGAACACCAGUGGCGAAGGCGACUUUCUGGUCUGUAACUGACGCUGAUGUGCGAAAGCGUGGGGAUCAAACAGG